Non-coding RNA from Potamilus streckersoni, 68 nucleotides. NCBI's taxonomy places the organism in Eukaryota, Metazoa, Mollusca, Bivalvia, Unionida, Unionidae. The record is from the annotation of a GenBank genome assembly.
GGGGCCUAGUGGUUAGAGGCAUGCGCCUCGGAUGCGUGAGAUCGCGGGUUCGAACCCCGGCAGAAUCA